CCUACGGGUGGCAGCAGUGGGGAAUAUUGGACAAUGGGGGGAACCCUGAUCCAGCCAUGCCGCGUGUGUGAAGAAGGCCCUCGGGUUGUAAAGCACUUUCAGUGAGGAAGAACGCCUGGUGGUUAAUACCCAUCAGGAAAGACAUCACUCACAGAAGAAGCACCGGCUAACUCCGUGCCAGCAGCCGCGGUAAUACGGAGGGUGCGAGCGUUAAUCGGAAUUACUGGGCGUAAAGCGCGCGUAGGUGGUUUGAUAAGCCGGUUGUGAAAGCCCCGGGCUCAACCUGGGAACGGCAUCCGGAACUGUCAAGCUAGAGUGCAGGAGAGGAAGGUAGAAUUCCCGGUGUAGCGGUGAAAUGCGGAGAGAUCGGGAGGAAUACCAGUGGCGAAGGCGGCCUUCUGGACUGACACUGACACUGAGGUGCGAAAGCGUGGGUAGCAAACAGGAUUAGAUACCCUGGUAGUG
RNAcentral lists this ribosomal RNA (465 nucleotides) under Vreelandella stevensii. Its description in RNAcentral is "partial 16S ribosomal RNA". It matches the Rfam family "Bacterial small subunit ribosomal RNA", at positions 338 to 795 of the family's 1533-position model. Lineage: Bacteria; Pseudomonadati; Pseudomonadota; Gammaproteobacteria; Oceanospirillales; Halomonadaceae. The record is from RNAcentral.